This 1384-nucleotide ribosomal RNA is filed under the name uncultured bacterium. Its description in RNAcentral is "bacterial SSU rRNA". It matches the Rfam family "Bacterial small subunit ribosomal RNA". The record is from RNAcentral.
AGUUUGAUAAUGGCUCAGAUUGAACGCUGGCGGCAUGCUUUACACAUUGCAAGUCGGACGGCAGCACAGAGAAGCUUUGCUUCUUGGGUUGGCGAGUGGCGAACGGGUGAGUAACAUAUCGGAACGUACCGAGCAGUGGGGGAUAACUAAUCGAAAGAUUAGCUAAUACCGCAUAUUUUCUGAGGAAGAAAGCAGGGGACCAUUUGGCCUUGCGCUGUUUGAGCGGCCGAUAUCUGAUUAGCUAGUUGGUGGGGUAAAGGCCUACCAAGGCGACGAUCAGUAGCGGGUCUGAGAGGAUGAUCCGCCACACUGGGACUGAGACACGGCCCAGACUCCUACGGGAGGCAGCAGUGGGGAAUAUUGCACAAUGGGCGCAAGCCUGAUGCAGCGACGCCGCGUGAGGGAUGACGGCCUUCGGGUUGUAAACCUCUGUUAGCAUCGAAGAAGCGAAAGUGACGGUAGGUGCAGAGAAAGCGCCGGCUAACUACGUGCCAGCAGCCGCGGUAAUACGUAGGGCGCGAGCGUUGUCCGGAAUUAUUGGGCGUAAAGAGCUUGUAGGCGGUUGGUCGCGUCUGCUGUGAAAGGCCGGGGCUUAACUCCGGUUUUGCAGUGGGUACGGGCUAACUAGAGUGCAGUAGGGGAGACUGGAAUUCCUGGUGUAGCGGUGGAAUGCACAGAUAUCAGGAGGAACACCGAUGGCGAAGGCAGGUCUCUGGGCUGUAACUGACGCUGAGAAGCGAAAGCAUGGGGAGCGAACAGGAUUAGAUACCCUGGUAGUCCAUGCCGUAAACGUUGGGCACUAGGUGUGGGGGACAUUCCACGUUUUCCGCGCCGUAGCUAACGCAUUAAGUGCCCCGCCUGGGGAGUACGGCCGCAAGGCUAAAACUCAAAGGAAUUGACGGGGGCCCGCACAAGCGGCGGAGCAUGCGGAUUAAUUCGAUGCAACGCGAAGAACCUUACCAAGGCUUGACAUGCAUUAGAUCGCGUCAGAGAUGGCGUUUCCCUUCGGGGCUGGUGUACAGGUGGUGCAUGGUUGUCGUCAGCUCGUGUCGUGAGAUGUUGGGUUAAGUCCCGCAACGAGCGCAACCCUCGUUCUAUGUUGCCAGCGGUUCGGCCGGGGACUCAUAGGAGACUGCCGGGGUCAACUCGGAGGAAGGUGGGGAUGACGUCAAAUCAUCAUGCCCCUUAUGUCUUGGGCUUCACGCAUGCUACAAUGGCCGGUACAGAGGGUUGCGAUACUGUGAGGUGGAGCUAAUCCCUUAAAGCCGGUCUCAGUUCGGAUUGGGGUCUGCAAACUCGACCCCAUGAAAGUCGGAGUCGCUAGUAAUCGCAGAAUCAGCAAACGCUGCGGUAAAUACGUUCCCGGGCCUUGUACACACCGGCC